Molecule: transfer RNA, 94 nt
Filed under: Schizosaccharomyces japonicus
Lineage: Eukaryota; Fungi; Ascomycota; Schizosaccharomycetes; Schizosaccharomycetales; Schizosaccharomycetaceae
Also listed under: 1 other name
Description: SJAG_16382.1
Rfam family: tRNA
About the family: Transfer RNA (tRNA) molecules are approximately 80 nucleotides in length. Their secondary structure includes four short double-helical elements and three loops (D, anti-codon, and T loops). Further hydrogen bonds mediate the characteristic L-shaped molecular structure. tRNAs have two regions of fundamental functional importance: the anti-codon, which is responsible for specific mRNA codon recognition, and the 3' end, to which the tRNAs corresponding amino acid is attached (by aminoacyl-tRNA synthetases). tRNAs cope with the degeneracy of the genetic code in two manners: having more than one tRNA (with a specific anti-codon) for a particular amino acid; and 'wobble' base-pairing, i.e. permitting non-standard base-pairing at the 3rd anti-codon position.
Source: RNAcentral
GGCCCCUUAACUCAGUCGGUAGAGUGUGAGAUUCCAAGAGGUGCUGCACCACGGUGUUAUCUCAAAGUCAAGCGUUCAAGUCGCUUAGGGGUCA